GGGCGCGUUUGGUUCGAAGUCGGAGUCGGAAUCGGAAUCGAAAUCAAAAUAAGCUGGAAUCGGAAUCGGAAUGACUCAUUAUCUAAUUCUGUUUGGUUCAUCACCUGAAUCGGAAUCGAAAUAAAUAAUUUCCAUUGUUGGUGUUUGGUUCAGGUGGAUAUAAAAAACGUAAUCAAAUUAGUAUAUUAACAUUAUUUUUAUAAUAUAUUAAUUUAAAUUCAAAUUAAAUAUUAAAUAUUAAAAAAUUACAUCAAAAUUUUGAAAUAAUGUCAAAAUUUUAAAUCUAUGUUUUUUUUAAAAAAAUUA
RNAcentral lists this long non-coding RNA (306 nucleotides) under Ananas comosus (pineapple). RNAcentral's name for it is "long non-coding RNA (ACOM_LNC004951)". The record is from RNAcentral. Lineage: Eukaryota; Viridiplantae; Streptophyta; Magnoliopsida; Poales; Bromeliaceae.